This is a non-coding RNA of Ictidomys tridecemlineatus (thirteen-lined ground squirrel), 480 nucleotides long. The record is from RefSeq and is a predicted model, not a curated record. NCBI's taxonomy places the organism in Eukaryota, Metazoa, Chordata, Mammalia, Rodentia, Sciuridae.
AGCCAAUGGAAGUAGAAAUAUGGGAUAGGAGGCGGGUCUUCUUGGUCUCCAGGCAAUCCUUGGUGACCCCUGUGAACCUCUGUGUAGUCCUAGCAAUACCAGAGCCACCUGCCCUACUGGUCAUGUUUAAGGUGGUUGAAUAAAUGGCUCAUCAAAGCAGUGAUGUGAGCUCAGAAAAUGAAGCAGCCAACGACCACUUUUGCUUAGCACUCAUAGCCCUCCUCUGCUGCUGCCCACUAGGCCUUCCAUCAAUAAUCUGUUCUUACUGGACGAUGCGCUACAAUCAAGCCAAAGAAUAUGACAAGGCAUCCAAGACCUCUAUUAUAACCCUCUGCUUGUCCAUCAUAGGCAUUUUUUUGUCCGUAUUACCAUUCAUCAUUUUUAUCUUCCUAUCAUUGCUGAUAAGGUGACCUCAUUCUUGCCUCAUGAACAAACCACCAAAUACAUGCAACAAUGUAACUAAACACUGUGUUUUAAUCA